UAUUGGCAGUGAAGAUUAUUCUACAGCUAUAAAAUGCCAGUUCUGCUUCUGAAAAUUCUUGAUUGAUAAGCUGUUACAUACUCUGAGCCUUCA
Small nucleolar RNA from Camellia sinensis, 93 nucleotides. The record is from RefSeq and is a predicted model, not a curated record. NCBI's taxonomy places the organism in Eukaryota, Viridiplantae, Streptophyta, Magnoliopsida, Ericales, Theaceae.